RNAcentral lists this transfer RNA (73 nucleotides) under Bos taurus (domestic cattle). It matches the Rfam family "tRNA". From Rfam's summary of the family: Transfer RNA (tRNA) molecules are approximately 80 nucleotides in length. Their secondary structure includes four short double-helical elements and three loops (D, anti-codon, and T loops). Lineage: Eukaryota; Metazoa; Chordata; Mammalia; Artiodactyla; Bovidae. RNAcentral also lists the same sequence under 3 other names. The record is from Rfam by way of RNAcentral.
UCCCUGGUGUUCCGGUGGUUAGGACUCUGCGCUUCCAUUGCAGAGGCCGCAGGUUCAAUCCCUGGUUGGGGAA